CCGUGCAGGGUGGGGGGCUAGCGGUCCCCUGUAUCCAAAACCCGCUAUAUGUGGAGCCCAUGGGCCUUCCGAGAGGGCAGGGGGGCGGAAACGGCCCGGGCAGGGAGGCGAUGACGGCCGAGCCCCCUGCGACGCAUACCGGUGAACCCCGCCAGGCCCGGGAGGGAGCAACGGUAAGCCGGUCCCUGCGGGUGAUAGGGGAUCCCUUGGCCCGAGCCGAAGGCCCGGGAGAAGCCCGCUGAACUGUCAGCGAAGAAGGCCCGCACGG
Non-coding RNA from Acetothermia bacterium 64_32, 268 nucleotides. Lineage: Bacteria; Candidatus Bipolaricaulota. The record is from Rfam.